CCAUGAGUAAAGUGGCGACCGGGUGAGUAACACGUGACUAACCUACCUCCGAGUGGGGAAUAACUCCGGGAAACCGGGGCUAAUACCGCAUAACAUCGCGAGAUCAAAGCAGCAAUGCGCUUGGAGAGGGGGUCGCGGCUGAUUAGCUAGUUGGCGGGGUAACGGCCCACCAAGGCGAAGAUCGGUAUCCGGCCUGAGAGGGCGCACGGACACACUGGAACUGAAACACGGUCCAGACUCCUACGGGAGGCAGCAGUGGGGAAUUUUGCGCAAUGGGGGAAACCCUGACGCAGCAACGCCGCGUGGAGGAUGAAGCCCCUUGGGGCGUAAACUCCUUUCGACCAAGACGAUAACGACGGUACUGGUGGAAGAAGCACCGGCUAACUCUGUGCCAGCAGCCGCGGUAAUACAGAGGGUGCGAGCGUUGUUCGGAAUUAUUGGGCGUAAAGGGCGCGUAGGCGGUGCCACAAGUCACUUGUGAAAUCCCCGGGCUUAACUCGGGGCCUGCAGGCGAAACUGUGGUGCUGGAGUGUGGGAGAGGUGCGUGGAAUUCCCGGUGUAGCGGUGCAAUGCGUAGAUAUCGGGAGGAACACCUGUGGCGAAAGCGGCGCACUGGACCAUAACUGACGCUGAGGCGCGAAAGCUAGGGGAGCAAACAGGAUUAGAUACCCUGGUAGUCCUAGCCCUAAACGAUGAUUGCUUGGUGUAGCAGGUACCCAAUCCUGCUGUGCCGCAGCUAACGCGAUACCAAUCCGCCUGGGGAGUACGGUCGCAAGGCUGAAACUCAAAGGAAUUGACGGGGGCCCGCACAAGCGGUGGAGCAUGUGGUUCAAUUCGACGCAACGCGAAGAACCUUACCUGGGCUCGAAAUGCAGGAGAUCGGGGUGGAAACAUCCCUUCCCCUUAAAAGGCUGCUGCAUAGGUGCUGCAUGGCUGUCGUCAGCUCGUGUCGUGAGAUGUUGGGUUAAGUCCCGCAACGAGCGCAACCCUUAUCCCUAGUUGCCAUCGGGUCAAGCCGGGCACUCUAGUGAAACUGCCUGGGAUAACCAGGAGGAAGGUGGGGAUGACGUCAAGUCCUCGUGGCCUUUAUGUCCAGGGCUACACACGUGCUACAAUGGUCGGUACAAACCGUCGCAAACCCGUGAGGGGGAGCUAAUCGGAAAAAGCCGGCCUCAGUUCGGAUUGGAGUCUGCAACUCGACUCCAUGAAGCUGGAAUCGCUAGUAAUCGCGGAUCAGAACGCCGCGGUGAAUACGUUCCCGGGCCUUGUACACACCGCCCGUCACAUCACGAAAGUGGGCCGUACUAGAAGCAGGUGUGCUAACCGCAAGGAGGCAGCCUUCCAAGGUACAGCUCAUGAUUGGGGUGAAGUCGUAACGAGGUA
RNAcentral lists this ribosomal RNA (1383 nucleotides) under metagenome. RNAcentral's name for it is "bacterial SSU rRNA". It matches the Rfam family "Bacterial small subunit ribosomal RNA". The record is from RNAcentral.